RNAcentral lists this transfer RNA (77 nucleotides) under Candidatus Cloacimonadota bacterium. RNAcentral's name for it is "tRNA-Arg". It matches the Rfam family "tRNA". Rfam says of the family: Transfer RNA (tRNA) molecules are approximately 80 nucleotides in length. Their secondary structure includes four short double-helical elements and three loops (D, anti-codon, and T loops). Further hydrogen bonds mediate the characteristic L-shaped molecular structure. tRNAs have two regions of fundamental functional importance: the anti-codon, which is responsible for specific mRNA codon recognition, and the 3' end, to which the tRNAs corresponding amino acid is attached (by aminoacyl-tRNA synthetases). tRNAs cope with the degeneracy of the genetic code in two manners: having more than one tRNA (with a specific anti-codon) for a particular amino acid; and 'wobble' base-pairing, i.e. permitting non-standard base-pairing at the 3rd anti-codon position. Lineage: Bacteria; Pseudomonadati; Candidatus Cloacimonadota. The record is from RNAcentral.
ACCCCUGUAGCUCAGUAGGAUAGAGCAGUACCCUCCUAAGGUAAAGGUCAGCCGUUCGAAUCGGCUCAGGGGUGCCA